CAAAGAGUCCAAACUCCAAAAUUUAAACCAAUCAACCAAGGGCUGAACGGAACUGCUGAAGUGGACUGGUGCCUGGCUAAGUGGUGCGAGUUGAGUGGAUGGUGAGUUGAUGACCGGUGAGCUGUGAGCAACGAGGAGGUGGACGAUGGAGUGGUGCGAUCCUGAGAGUUGAGUGGACGUCGAUGGCUGCGAGUGCGACUCCUUGCCUUGGACUAUGUUGCAACUCUGUUGUAUGCAGGGGCAGAGCCCAAUGAGGUCCAAUGCAGGACUGGACUUUCGGGCCCAACCCAUUUUUCCCCUUCUUUUAGGAAUUGGCCCAGCCAAGAAACCCAAAUCCAAUUCAAUUAUCCAACCCAUACCGAUACCCCAUUCGUUGCAUUCAACUCUCAGUUCACCCAUUUCUUCUCCUUCCACCCCGCCAUUCGAUUUCCAAGACACUCACAAACAUUGCAUGGCAGACUACUCAAUCUCUGCCGUUUCGCUCCGCCAUUCAACGUCUCAACCUCUUAAAAACUCUCACCUAGAGCCGUCUUUCCCCAACCUCGGAACUUUUUGCGAUUCUUUUCAUUUUCGAGCCCUAGACGGUAGUCUUCAGAUGCCUUCGAUUCCAUUGGCGACUCCAUAGACGGUAGCGCAGCAGAAGAAGAAGUAUUAAAUUCACGGUGGAAUUGUUCAGUGAAUAGCUCUAUGGAGUUGAGCCCGGUUGCGAGGCUUCGCCAACUGAGAAUAGCUGAGCGGGAGGGUACUUUGUUGCGAGAGCUACUUGAGUUAGAGAACAAGAGAGAGAGGAAAGGAUCGGGCAAAUUGGAUAUGCUCUUGCUCCUAUGAUUGUUAGGGAUGUGAUGUUGGGUGCUGACCAAUCCAUCAUCCUUAUUCCUUCACAUGCUAGAUAUUCCUCAUGCUGCUGAGGCGCUAAAUGGAGUGAGAUCAGAUUGGUCAAUGCUGCAUUCCCUCUUCUCAAAGGUUAGUAAUUUACUUCUAAGUAGUGAAAAAAAUAGUCAAUAGUUUCAUGUAUUUUGACAUUUUGUACGCCAGAUAAGAUAUAGGUUAAAACUUACAAGUGGAUAACUUGUAUCUAUCUAUCUAUUAUGCUAUUUAAAUCACGUGGUGUUGCAACAACUAAUGUUGUUGAAGCAUGCAAUGGAGUCAACAUUACAAUGAUGGUUGGUGGUUUCCCCUGGAAAGAGGAAAGAUGUGAAUCAUGUGAUAUUAAAGAAUGUUUCAUAUACAAAUCUCAGGCUUCAGUUCUUGAGAAGCGUGCUGUUGCCAACUGCAAGGUAAUUGGAUUAGUUGUGUCAUUUUUAGUAUUGCUGUAAUAUUGUUUUGUAUUUUUAUCAUCAUUAAAUUCAUAGUCAAAAAAUCAAAAUUCGACAUUAAA
Molecule: long non-coding RNA, 1378 nt
Organism: Olea europaea var. sylvestris
Lineage: Eukaryota; Viridiplantae; Streptophyta; Magnoliopsida; Lamiales; Oleaceae
Exons: 4
Source: RefSeq, a predicted model, not a curated record